GGGGCGUGCGCGGGGCGGGGAUGCGCGGGGGGCGGAGAGGGGACCCGGGAGCGUGCGAGUUUCCUUCCCGAGACACCUUCGCCCUCCCGCCGCAGCCCCCGCGGGAGGGGCAGCCCUGGCGGGGCGGGGGCGGGCGGCGCGGAGCCGACGAAGCGGUGGGUGCGGCGGGCUGGGCACAUCCAAUAUGGCCCCUGCGCCGGGAGAAGCCAAUCCCGGGCGCGGUUACUCCGGAGGCUCCGGCGGAGGCCGGGCCGGGAUGCGGGGCAGGCCCCGGGGGGCGGGAGGAGCGGGGGUUUUCCCUGGGAAAGGGAAACUUGGCGCUCCGGCGCGUUUUGGCGAGGCGCUCACGCAGCCGCUCUGGCCGCCCCGGCCGUGCCUCCGGAGGAGUGCGCCCAGCAGCGGGAAUGCCGCCUUCGCUCUAGGAAAUCACGGGGGCGCGUUUGACACCGGCACUGGGGAUGGUGCUCGCUAGCCAAAGCUCUCUGACUCCCUCCCUCUCCCCAGGCAGAACCCGUGGGCUGGCAGCUCAGUUGGUCUGACCCAGCGGUGGCAUCACCAGGUCUUCCAUUGAAAGCUGAGGGCUUGCGGGGAGAGCAAGGGGAAUCCCCGCCUAUUAAAGGCAAAGGUGGAUGCCAGGCAGGACGAGUGUAACCGCAGAACUACAGUGAUUUAUUCUGCCUUGGGAUUCACCACAUGUGUCUUGUAACCCAUUGUAGCCUAUAGAGGGAGAGAUCCUCUGUACUCAGAACAAGGACACUCAUCCUUUAUCCUUCUGUAAGCAUGGAAUAAAAUUUUGCAAGAAAAAAUCUCAA
Vidua chalybeata is the source of this 812-nucleotide long non-coding RNA. RefSeq lists it as uncharacterized. The transcript has 2 exons. The record is from RefSeq and is a predicted model, not a curated record. NCBI's taxonomy places the organism in Eukaryota, Metazoa, Chordata, Aves, Passeriformes, Viduidae.